AAUGACCCUGUUUUUUACACAGAGGACCCUUUGGUCCACCCACUUCAACCCCUUUGCUUCCCUAUAAAUAGAGGUAUUAUUUCCCCUCAUUUUCAUGUUUCCUAGCCCCCAAAAGUUCUGUCCAAGUACCAUUUUCUCUCCUCUCCAAACCUAAGUCAAAACAAAAAAUCUUUCUCACUUAGAAAAGUCACUCCACCAACUUUUCUUUGUG
RNAcentral lists this long non-coding RNA (211 nucleotides) under Lathyrus oleraceus (garden pea). Its description in RNAcentral is "Pisum sativum (pea) long non-coding RNA (PSAT_LNC022352)". Lineage: Eukaryota; Viridiplantae; Streptophyta; Magnoliopsida; Fabales; Fabaceae. The record is from RNAcentral.